CUUGGUCAUUUAGAGGAAGUAAAAGUCGUAACAAGGUUUCCGUAGGUGAACCUGCGGAAGGAUCAUUAUUGAUUUUUAAAGAUGUGCUGGCACUCCUUCACCGGUUUGCAUGUGCACUCUGCAAAAUCUCCUUCUCUUACCCCACUGUGCACACCCAAGUAGACAAACAGAGUUACAGAGCAAUCUGUGUAAUUCCUGAUUUGCCUAUGUUUUUAUCAAACACCAAUAACAAUAUCAGAAUGAUCUAUAUAGUAAGCUUUUAACAAGCUGAAAUUUAAUACAACUUUCAACAAUGGAUCUCUUGGUUCUCGCAUCGAUGAAGAACGCAGCGAAUUGCGAUAUGUAAUGUGAAUUGCAGAAUUCGGUGAAUCAUCGAAUCUUUGAACGCACCUUGCACCCUCUGGCAUUCCGGAGGGUAUGCCUGUUUGAGUGUCAUUAAUCUCUCAACGCAAGAAACUUUGUCUUCUUGUGCUUGGAUAUUGAAGGUUUUGCUGGCGCAAACAACCGUCAGCUCCUUUUAAAUGUAUUAGCAGAGCAGUAUGGGACUGGCCUCGGUUUGAUAAGAAACUUUAUCUAUGCUGUCGCUGGGUUUUCCUCUUUGUGCUCAGCUUCAAAUUGUCUUCGGACUGUCUCUUGAGGCAACAAAAUUUCUAUUGAUCGACCUCAAAUCAGGUAGGACUACCCGCUGAACUUAAGCAUAUCAAUAAGCGGAGGA
RNAcentral lists this ribosomal RNA (715 nucleotides) under uncultured Clavaria. RNAcentral's name for it is "eukaryotic LSU rRNA". The stretch from base 282 to 435 matches the Rfam family "5.8S ribosomal RNA". The record is from RNAcentral. Lineage: Eukaryota; Fungi; Basidiomycota; Agaricomycetes; Agaricales; Clavariaceae.